UACGGAGGGUGCAAGCGUUAUCCGGAUUCACUGGGUUUAAAGGGUGCGUAGGUGGGAAUGUAAGUCAGUGGUGAAAUCUCCGUGCUUAACAUGGAAACUGCCAUUGAUACUAUGUUUCUUGAAUUUUUCUGGAGGUCAGCGGAAUAUGUCAUGUAGCGGUGAAAUGCAUAGAUAUGACCCGGAACACCGAUUGCGAAGGCAGCCCACUAAGCAACGAUUGACGCUGAGGCACGAAAGCGUGGGGAUCAAAACAGG
This 255-nucleotide ribosomal RNA is filed under the name uncultured bacterium. Its description in RNAcentral is "partial 16S ribosomal RNA". It matches the Rfam family "Bacterial small subunit ribosomal RNA", at positions 524 to 776 of the family's 1533-position model. The record is from RNAcentral.